CUACGGGUGGCAGCAGUGAGGAAUAUUGCGCAAUGGGGGGAACCCUGAUGCAGCAACGCCGCGUGGAGGAUGACGCAUUUCGGUGUGUAAACUCCUUUUAUAUGUCAAGAAAAUGACGGUAGCAUAUGAAUAAGCACCGGCUAACUCCGUGCCAGCAGCCGCGGUAAUACGGAGGGUGCAAGCGUUACUCGGAAUCACUGGGCGUAAAGGACGCGUAGGCGGGUUGGAAAGUCAGGUGUGAAAUCCUACAGCUUAACUGUAGAACUGCACUUGAAACUUCUAAUCUAGAGUAUGGGAGGGGGAGAUGGAAUUAGUGGUGGAGGGGUAAAAUCCGUAGAUAUCACUAGGAAUACCUAAAGCGAAGGCGAUCUCCUGGAACAUUACUGACGUUAAGGCGUGAAAGCGUGGGGGGCAAACAGGAUUAGAUACCCGGGUAGUC
RNAcentral lists this ribosomal RNA (439 nucleotides) under uncultured bacterium. Its description in RNAcentral is "partial 16S ribosomal RNA". It matches the Rfam family "Bacterial small subunit ribosomal RNA", at positions 339 to 795 of the family's 1533-position model. The record is from RNAcentral.